GACAGAGGGUGCAAACGUUGUUCGGAAUUAUUGGGCGUAAAGCGCGCGCAGGCGGUCUCUUAAGUCUGAUGUGAAAGCCCACGGCUCAACCGUGGAGGGUCAUUGGAAACUGGGGGACUUGAGUACAGAAGAGGAAAGCGGAAUUCCACGUGUAGCGGUGAAAUGCGUAGAGAUGUGGAGGAACACCAGUGGCGAAGGCGGCUUUCUGGUCUGUAACUGACGCUGAGGCGCGAAAGCGUGGGGAGCAAACAGG
RNAcentral lists this ribosomal RNA (253 nucleotides) under uncultured bacterium. RNAcentral describes it as "partial 16S ribosomal RNA". It matches the Rfam family "Bacterial small subunit ribosomal RNA", at positions 524 to 776 of the family's 1533-position model. The record is from RNAcentral.